RNAcentral lists this unclassified non-coding RNA (376 nucleotides) under uncultured fungus. RNAcentral describes it as "partial contains small subunit ribosomal RNA, internal transcribed spacer 1, and 5.8S ribosomal RNA". The stretch from base 1 to 73 matches the Rfam family "Eukaryotic small subunit ribosomal RNA", at positions 1759 to 1831 of the family's 1831-position model. The record is from RNAcentral. Lineage: Eukaryota; Fungi.
GCAAACUUGGUCAUUUAGAGGAAGUAAAAGUCGUAACAAGGUUUCCGUAGGUGAACCUGCGGAAGGAUCAUUACAGAAUAAACUUGAUGAGUUGUUGCUGGCUCUUAAACUGAGUAUGUGCACGCUUGUCAUUUUUAUCUUUCCACCAUUGUGCACUGUGCAUAGGACUGAAACAUUUUGUUGAUCAAAGUAUUACUUUGGUUAUUGGAAACUGCUGUUGCAUCUUGCACGGCUUUUUCUGCCUCAGUUCCUAUGCGUUUUUCUAUAUACACCAAUGUAUGUUAAUGAACGUCUUCAUAGGCCUUUGUGCCUAUAAAAUCUUUAUACAACUUUCAGCAACGGAUCUCUUGGCUCUCGCAUCGAUGAAGAACGCAGC